UACGGGGGGAGCAAGCGUUGUUCGGAUUUACUGAGCGUAAAGGGCGCGUAGGCGGUCAGCACAAGUCAGUUGUGAAAUCUCCGGGCUUAACUCGGAAAGGUCAACUGAUACUGUGCGACUAGAGUGCGGAAGGGGCAACUGGAAUUCUCGGUGUAGCGGUGAAAUGCGUAGAUAUCGAGAGGAACACCUGCGGCGAAGGCGGGUUGCUGGGCCGACACUGACGCUGAUGCGCGAAAGCCAGGGGAGCGAACGGG
This 254-nucleotide ribosomal RNA is filed under the name uncultured bacterium. RNAcentral describes it as "partial 16S ribosomal RNA". It matches the Rfam family "Bacterial small subunit ribosomal RNA", at positions 524 to 776 of the family's 1533-position model. The record is from RNAcentral.